RNAcentral lists this ribosomal RNA (1168 nucleotides) under Kudoa thunni. RNAcentral describes it as "SSU rRNA". It matches the Rfam family "Eukaryotic small subunit ribosomal RNA", at positions 596 to 1828 of the family's 1831-position model. Lineage: Eukaryota; Metazoa; Cnidaria; Myxozoa; Multivalvulida; Kudoidae. The record is from RNAcentral.
GUAGUGUAUAUCAAAAUUGUUGCGGUUAAAGCGCUCGUAGUUGGAUUACAAAAGCUCUAAAACAAUCAAGUCCUAUCAUAUAUUGGUUUGAUUGUUGUGGGGUUUUUUUCUUGUGAGAGCCAUAUGUGAGAUUAAAUUCUUGUGUAUGGUCACUUGCAAAAUGUGCCUUGAAUAAAGCACAGUGCUCAAAGCAGGCGUAACGCUUGAAUGUAAUAGCAUGGAACGAUUAUUGUUGACCUAAUCAACUGUUGGUUGUUGAAUACCAAUAUGGUCUAGAUUAAAAGGAACAUUUGAGGGCGUUAGUACUUGGUGGCGAGGGGUGAAAUUCUUAGACCCAUCAAAGACUAACUAAUGCGAAAGCAUUCGCCAAGAAUGUUUUCAUUAAUCAAGAACGAAAGUUAGAGGUUCGAAGACGAUCAGAUACCGUCCUAGUUCUAUACAGUAAACUAUGCCAACAUGGGAUCAGUCCGGAACUAUCCAGGUUGGGCCCUCAGAGAAAUCAAGUUUUUAGGUCCUUGGGGGAGUGCGCACGCAAGUGAGAAACUUAAAGAAAUUGACGGAAUGGCACCRCCAGGAGUGGAGCCUGCGGCUUAAUUUGACUCAACACGGGGAAACUCACCAGGUCCAGACAUUGAUAGGAUUGACAGACUGAGAGAUCUUUCAUGAUACGAUGAUUGGUGGUGCAUGGCCGUUCUUAGUUGGUGGAGUGAUCUGUCAGGUUAAUUCCGGUAACGAGCGAGACCACGGUCUUUAAUUGAUUACUAAUAUAUUUAUGUCAUAUUAAAUCUUAAAGAGACAACCGGAUUCAAGCCGGGGGAAGCGUGGCAAUAACAGGUCUGUGAUGCCCUUCGAUGUUCUGGGCUGCACGUGCGCUACAAUGAUAGUGACAACAAGUUCCUGCUCUGAGAUGAGUGGGGAAUCUUUAAAAUCGCUAUCUUGCUUUGGAUUGAGCCUUGUAAUAAUUGCUCAUGAAAGAGGAAUUCCUCGUAAGCGCGAGUCAUCAACUCGUGUUGAAUACGUCUCUGCCCUUUGUACACACCGCCCGUCGCUACUACCGACUGGAUGAUUCUUCGAAGAGUUAGGACCGGUUGAUCUGCAAAGAACGACUGGGAUAAGCCCUAAGAUGAAUGAUCUGCAGGAAGUAAAAGUCGUAACAAGGUUUCCGUAG